Long non-coding RNA from Apis cerana (Asiatic honeybee), 871 nucleotides. RefSeq lists it as uncharacterized. The record is from RefSeq and is a predicted model, not a curated record. NCBI's taxonomy places the organism in Eukaryota, Metazoa, Arthropoda, Insecta, Hymenoptera, Apidae.
AUACUUACAGACAAAGGAUUUUCUUAACUUUAACAUUGUGGUAAUAAAGCGAAUUCGUAAAUGAAACAUAAUUUAUAAAUGAAAAAUGAUAUUGCUCAUUUUAUUCUUUUUUAUUCGCGUACUUUUCGCGCCACACCUUAUAGAUGAAAAAAUAAAUUGCGGGAAGUUGCGAUAAUAUUUUCGUAAUACAGUUAAAUAGACGAAAGAUCGAUAAUCAACUGAGAUAAUAAUGCUAUUAAUAAUUGAAUUAGCAUGUGUUUCGAAUGAUAUUAAGCAUUAAAAUUCUUCAAAAUAGAAUGUAUUUGCAUUUUUCUUAUAUACAUGUUCAUUAUGAAUUCAUAUUGGUCAAUUCACUAUCACAUAGUUUAAAUUUCAUUCAAAAUGAAACUCAAAAUCCGAAAAACUUCAGAAGCAUGAUACAUGCGUACUUCUAUAAAUAGUAGCUUGUUUAAAUAGUGAAAGUAAAAACACUGAUUCUUCUAAUAGCAAAAUCAAUUAGUACAUACAUUGGAAAAAACAAUCGAGGAUUUAUCCAAGGAUUGUGGAUAAUAAAUGCAAAAUAAAAAUAUCACGAUGUUACAUGAGCAACGCGCGGCCACUGACUGACAGAGAAGAGGUUUCGAUUGGCGGGCCCAUUGACACGCGCGACUUCUCAAACCCGCGAAAUCGAGCUGAACCAAUCAGAAUGCUUUCUACCGCCUCCGCGACCCAGUGAUCCGGAUACAGUGCUGUAAAAUAAAGAUUUCUGGCACGGAUUUUCCGUCACUGAAAGUAUAGCCACCGUUAGCCGCUUCCACCACCUCCCUUUAACCUAUUGAUCGACCCCCAAGUGAACAAGAAAACGCAAGACCAGAUGCGCCAUAACAUCAGU